Chrysemys picta bellii (western painted turtle) is the source of this 177-nucleotide unclassified non-coding RNA. Lineage: Eukaryota; Metazoa; Chordata; Testudines; Emydidae. The record is from Ensembl.
UUGACAGCUCUGGAGACUGGUAUCCCGUAUUUACCACUGAACAGGUACAGCAGAGUGAGUGGCAGUACCAGCAUCCUCAUACUGCCCUGCCAAUGGGCCUGAGCUCUGAUCCAGAGGGGCUAUCUCCACGAGAGAGAGGUUAGUUCAUAUUGAGUACUCCUUCAUACUCUUUGAGAU